ACGACUGCUAAGACUGGAUAGGAAGAUAAAAGGCAUCUUGUAUCUUUUAAAAGACCUAGUUAAUAGGUAUGCUUUAGGAGGGGCUUGCGCCAUAUUAAUUAGUUGGUAGGGUAAUGGCCUACCAAGACGAUGAUGUGUAGCUGGACUGAGAGGUUGAACAGCCACAUUGGGACUGAGACACGGCCCAAACUCCUACGGGAGGCAGCAGUAGGGAAUUUUCGGCAAUGGAGGAAACUCUGACCGAGCAACGCCGCGUGAAUGACGAAGUACUUCGGUAUGUAAAGUUCUUUUAUCGAGGAAGAAAAGCAAAUGGCGAACCAUUUGUUUGCCGGUACUUGAUGAAUAAGCCCCGGCUAAUUAUGUGCCAGCAGCCGCGGUAAGACAUAAGGGGCAAGUGUUAUCCGGAAUUAUUGGGCGUAAAGGGUGCGUAGGCGGUCUAGUAAGUCAGUGGUGUAAUGUCAACGCUUAACGUUGUCCGGCUAUUGAAACUGCUAAACUUGAGUUAGAUAGAGGCGAGUGGAAUUCCAUGUGUAGCGGUAAAAUGCGUAAAUAUAUGGAGGAACACCAGAGGCGUAGGCGGCUCGCUGGGUCUUAACUGACGCUGAGGCACGAAAGCGUGGGGAGCAAACAGGAUUAGAUACCCUGGUAGUCCACGCCGUAAACGGUGAGUACUAAGUGUCGGGUUAAACCGGUACUGAAGUUAACACAUUAAGUACUCCGCCUGAGUAGUACGUACGCAAGUAUGAAACUUAAAGGAAUUGACGGGACUCCGCACAAGCGGUGGAUCAUGUUGUUUAAUUCGAAGAUACCCGAAAAACCUUACCAGGCCUUGACAUGUUUUUGCAAAGUGAUAGUAAUAUCGUGGAGGUUACCAGAAACACAGGUGGUGCAUGGUUGUCGUCAGCUCGUGUCGUGAGAUGUUAGGUUAAGUCCUAAAACGAGCGAAACCCUUAUCGUUAGUUGCCAGCACGUUAUGGUGGGGACUUUAACGAGACUGCCAAUGAUAAAUUGGAGGAAGGUGAGGAUCACGUCAAAUCAGCAUGCCCCUUAUGACCUGGGCUACAAACGUGAUACAAUGGCUGUUACAAAGGGUAGCUGAAACGCAAGUUCUUGGCCAAUCCCCAAAAACAGUCCCAGUCCGGAUUGAAGUCUGCAACUCGACUUCAUGAAGUUGGAAUCGCUAGUAAUCGCGAAUCAGCAUGUCGCGGUGAAUACGUUCACGGGGUUUGUACACACCGCCCAUCA
Molecule: ribosomal RNA, 1245 nt
Filed under: Tomato yellows phytoplasma
Lineage: Bacteria; Bacillati; Mycoplasmatota; Mollicutes; Acholeplasmatales; Acholeplasmataceae
Description: bacterial SSU rRNA
Rfam family: Bacterial small subunit ribosomal RNA
Source: RNAcentral